GACUAAUGUUGAAAAAUUAGCGGAUGACCUGUGGCUGGGGGUGAAAGGCCAAUCAAACCGGGAGAUAGCUGGUUCUCCCCGAAAGCUAUUUAGGUAGCGCCUCGUGAAUUCAUCUCCGGGGGUAGAGCACUGUUUCGGCUAGGGGGCCAUCCCGGCUUACCAACCCGAUGCAAACUGCGAAUACCGGAGAAUGUUAUCACGGGAGACACACGGCGGGUGCUAACGUCCGUCGUGAAGAGGGAAACAACCCAGACCGCCAGCUAAGGUCCCAAAGUCAUGGUUAAGUGGGAAACGAUGUGGGAAGGCCCAGACAGCCAGGAUGUUGGCUUAGAAGCAGCCAUCAUUUAAAGAAAGCGUAAUAGCUCACUGGUCGAGUCGGCCUGCGCGGAAGAUGUAACGGGGCUAAACCAUGCACCGAAGCUGCGGCAGCGA
This 432-nucleotide ribosomal RNA is filed under the name Salmonella enterica subsp. enterica serovar Kentucky. RNAcentral's name for it is "bacterial LSU rRNA". It matches the Rfam family "Bacterial large subunit ribosomal RNA", at positions 781 to 1211 of the family's 2925-position model. Lineage: Bacteria; Pseudomonadati; Pseudomonadota; Gammaproteobacteria; Enterobacterales; Enterobacteriaceae. The record is from RNAcentral.